Molecule: non-coding RNA, 89 nt
Organism: Mycena floridula
Lineage: Eukaryota; Fungi; Basidiomycota; Agaricomycetes; Agaricales; Mycenaceae
Source: the annotation of a GenBank genome assembly
GAGGCUAUAGCUUAGUUGGUAGAGCGUCCAUUGACUGUGAUCAUGGCAUUUUCGCAUGGAGGUCGAGGGUUCGAAUCCCUCUAGCCCCG